RNAcentral lists this small RNA (27 nucleotides) under Bombyx mori (domestic silkworm). Its description in RNAcentral is "ovarian small RNA-36716". Lineage: Eukaryota; Metazoa; Arthropoda; Insecta; Lepidoptera; Bombycidae. The record is from RNAcentral.
UUAGAUUAAAAUAUAUGUAAAGGUGUC